CCGAGUAUUGGGGUUCCUUUUGGGCCCCUACUCCCACACCAUGUGUACCUUACCUUACCGUUGCCUCGGCGAGCCGCCUUUACGGGCGCCGGGCCCCUUCGUGGGUCCGGAGAGCGCUCGCCGGAGGACCAACCAAAACUCUUUGUGUUAACCGACGCAGUCUGAGUAUAAUUCUUUGAAUUAAAUUA
RNAcentral lists this unclassified non-coding RNA (188 nucleotides) under uncultured Botryosphaeriales. RNAcentral's name for it is "sequence contains ITS1". Lineage: Eukaryota; Fungi; Ascomycota; Dothideomycetes; Botryosphaeriales. The record is from RNAcentral.